This is a long non-coding RNA of Oncorhynchus keta (chum salmon), 681 nucleotides long. RefSeq lists it as uncharacterized. NCBI's taxonomy places the organism in Eukaryota, Metazoa, Chordata, Actinopteri, Salmoniformes, Salmonidae. The record is from RefSeq and is a predicted model, not a curated record. The transcript has 3 exons.
UUCUGGUUUUUGCCCGAGCACCACACUGCUAAUUCAAAUAGCCAACUCCUCGUCAAGCUGUGAUGAUUUGAAUGAACUGUGUUCGGGCAGAAGAACAGAAAAUGCACGCAGAGGGAGAUCCAGGACCGAGUUUGGGAAACACUGAUUUAUAGUUGGUAAAUCCUCUCUUCUGAUAACUUUAGAUACUGUAGAAAACAACACUUUUAUAACGGUCUGAUAUCUUUUAAUACAGUAGUUUACAUUGACAGUCUGGGCUAAAUGGACCAGGACCAGAGCUAGACUUGGAUCAGCACCAAAGAGCCAUGGAUGUCUGGUGCUGCUGAGAGAGGAGAAACAGUACAACACUAUUUACACAAUACUUAUAGGUUAUUUACACAAUACUUAUAGGUUCUUUAUAUAAUACUUAUAGGUUCUUUAUAGAAUACUUAUAGGUUCUUUAUAGAAUACUUAUAGGUUCUUUAUAGAAUACUUAUAGGUUCUUUAUAGAAUACUUAUAGGUUCUUUAUAGAAUACUUAUAGGUUCUUUAUAGAAUACUUAUAGGUUCUUUAUAGAAUACUUAUAGGUUCUUUAUAUAAUACUUAUAGGUUCUUUAUAGAAUACUUCUAGGUUCUUUAUAGAAUGUUUACAGGUAGCUUUUAGGUUAUUUAUAGAAUACUUAGGUUAUUUAUAGAAUAUUUCUA